RNAcentral lists this unclassified non-coding RNA (328 nucleotides) under uncultured Helvella. Its description in RNAcentral is "sequence contains ITS1". The stretch from base 1 to 105 matches the Rfam family "5.8S ribosomal RNA", at positions 50 to 154 of the family's 154-position model. Lineage: Eukaryota; Fungi; Ascomycota; Pezizomycetes; Pezizales; Helvellaceae. The record is from RNAcentral.
GAAAUGCGAUAAGUAAUGUGAAUUGCAGAAUUCAGUGAAUCAUCGAAUCUUUGAACGCACAUUGCGCCCCCUGGCAUUCCGGGGGGCAUGCCUGUUCGAGCGUCUCAUCGACGCACUCACAGAGGCUGUGGUCAUGGCGGCGGUGGCGGGCCGCAAGGUGGCUGCCACCCCGCUGGAAUUCAUAGGCGGACGCCUGCAGCGUGGCCGAGCGUGAUAGGACACAAAUUCGCCCGCUCGCCAGGACGCCAGUCCGGCCCCGAGCCCCGAGCCGGGCAGCAACAACGACAAUGCACUCCUCGAAUCAGGUAGGGAUACCCGCUGAACUUAA